GGGCGCAUAGCUCAGCUGGUAGAGCAUUUCUCUGAUAAGGAAAAGGUCCAUGGUUCGAGUCCAUGUGCGCCCACCA
This 76-nucleotide transfer RNA is filed under the name Candidatus Kuenenbacteria bacterium HGW-Kuenenbacteria-1. Its description in RNAcentral is "tRNA-Ile". It matches the Rfam family "tRNA". Rfam says of the family: Transfer RNA (tRNA) molecules are approximately 80 nucleotides in length. Their secondary structure includes four short double-helical elements and three loops (D, anti-codon, and T loops). Lineage: Bacteria; Candidatus Kueneniibacteriota. The record is from RNAcentral.